CAGAGGGUGCAAACGUUGUUCGGAAUUACUGGGCGUAAAGCGCGUGCAGGCGGCCUUGCAAGUCGGACGUGAAAUCCCACGGCUCAACCGUGGAAGUGCAUUCGAAACUGCGAGGCUGGAGUCCUGGAGAGGAAAGUGGAAUACUCGGUGUAGAGGUGAAAUUCGUAGAUAUCGAGUGGAACACCGGUGGCGAAGGCGGCUUUCUGGACAGAUACUGACGCUGAGACGCGAAAGCGUGGGGAGCAAACAGGAUUAGAUACCCUGGUAGUCCACGCCGUAAACGACUGAGUGCUAGGUGUCACGGGCUUUGACCCUCGUGGUGCCGAAGCUAACGCGUUAAGCACUCCGCCUGGGGAGUACGGCCGCAAGGCUA
This 373-nucleotide ribosomal RNA is filed under the name uncultured organism. RNAcentral's name for it is "bacterial SSU rRNA". It matches the Rfam family "Bacterial small subunit ribosomal RNA", at positions 526 to 896 of the family's 1533-position model. The record is from RNAcentral.